AACACCCAAAUAACUUAAAUAUAGCUUCUUACUUAGUGCAUAGAUUUUCGUCUGUCAAACGUCAAACAUCGGUUUACGAAUGUCAACAUUGUAAAAUUUGCAGUAAUGUUGACGAACAUAACUCGUGCAGUAGUUUUUUUUUAUUCAGAUAGAUUCAUCGAUUUGAGGCGUAUUCAACUACAAUUAUUUUAGCCCCCACAGAGGAAAAAGGUGCUUUAUCUCAAUAUUCAUCAUUGGGAUAUGUUUCGUGCUACAAGAUAAUUUGAAAUUAUAUUGAUUCCGGUGAAAAACAGAUGCCCGUUGUAGACAACAUGCUCGGGACUGUGUGAUGUGCCAAUCACGUUGCUAAAAUCGUCAGGAAGUGAAACUUUUUAGCGUUUAUUUUUCAAGGCAGCUGUAGCAAAAUUUGUAAAUGACAUCUCUAAAGCAUCCAAGCCUAGUAGAAGAGCGUACAACACCCGCGUUGGCUACGUCUAUGGGACUAGACUUAUAUUGGGUUCCGCGUGGUAUUUCGAAGCUCCAAUUGCUUGGUACAUGGCGGAUAGACAGUCUAUCGGUCCUUGUUGAUCUGACUGAUGAGAUUGUUAACGGCACGAUGGAUCCGGAGCAGCAGCAGGAAACC
Long non-coding RNA from Aedes aegypti (yellow fever mosquito), 622 nucleotides. RefSeq lists it as uncharacterized. The transcript is spliced from 2 exons. Lineage: Eukaryota; Metazoa; Arthropoda; Insecta; Diptera; Culicidae. The record is from RefSeq and is a predicted model, not a curated record.